This is a long non-coding RNA of Cyprinus carpio (common carp), 1288 nucleotides long. NCBI's taxonomy places the organism in Eukaryota, Metazoa, Chordata, Actinopteri, Cypriniformes, Cyprinidae. The record is from Ensembl.
CAUCUAGCGCUGCAGGACAAAGACAGUUAAACUGACUGCAGUUUAAAUCGGAGAGUUGAUUGUCCCUUGUUUAUUCCUUUUUCAGUGUAUGUCUAGCUGUGCAUCAUGGAAAGAAAUAUGUCAAAACUUGAGGCAUCAGCCAAGUACAGGCAUGAAAAUGACUGGAAACACAAGCAAACAAACAAGCAAAGGACAAAGGACCAAAUUCAGAGAAGCAGGACACUGCUGAACAGCUGAUCUGCCGUUAGCUGCGUAAAUUUCCCUCACGGUGAGCAGCUCCCAGAGCCCAGCUGAAUUAAUCACAGCCACACGGACACACGGGGGGCAGCCUGAGGAGGAGGACCGAGAGGAGGCUAGAGGAGAAACCAUGCUGUGAGAAAAGAGGCAGAGAAGAGGUUAGAGCUGUAACAUCUAUGGAGUGAAAGGGUACAAAGGGUUACAAUUCCACAAAUGCUUUUUUUGAGAAAACAAAAGCUGGCAAAUAAUUUGCCCUAACUAUAAAGUUAACAAGAAAAAUUUGGAUACACUUUAUUAUUAUUAUUAUUAUUAUUAUUAGUAGUAGUAGUAGUAGUAGUAGUAGUAGUAGUAGUAGUAGUAGUAAUUGGCAUUUGAGGGGAAGUCGUGGCCUAAUGGUUAGAGAGUUUGAUAAGUUUAGUAAUCUAUGUAAAAAUCAAAUGUACAUGAUGCCUUAAAGGGGUCAUGACAUGGGUUUAUUUAUUUUAUUAUUAUGGUCCCCUAGGUGCAAUUAUAGUAUUACUAUAGUUUUAAAAAAAAAAAAAAAAACUUUUAAAAUGUAGUGAAUUAUGACAUUUUCCCACCCUGUUUCUCAUCCUUUGAUUCAAACAGUCUGUUUUUGGGUUGUUUCCCCUUUAAGAGUUCAGUGUUAACGCCCACUGUUAUGAUUGGCUAACGACAGUGCCUAUGGCUUAAUUAUUAACACCCCCAGCCAGAACAUUUGCGAUUGAGCGUAACUGUUUAGUAGUGGGUGAUGCAUUCGAAGCGAUGGCUCUUGCAAUGAUAAAACCUUAUAUGUUUGAGCACAUCUGCGUGGCAUUGUAAUUUUCCUGUACACAGACCCACUCGCUGUCCGUCGACUCAACACUUGUGAGGCGCGCGGCGCGACAACGAUACGAAAUGAGCGUAGUUGUCUUGUGCUGGAGGCGGUCAUAUGCAAAUGGUUGGAACCUCACUUCGCACCGUGACGUCACUUCUUACCAUGGAUCCAGAACGAGCUGUAUUUAGAGCUUGAUUAAAUAAAUGGCUCGUUUAUAAUGGGGAGGACGUCUUA